GGACUGACCAGGACCAGCUGUGCUCGGCUCAGGGGACUCAGCAUAAACGAGGAAGAUCCAGCCCUUGUCCUUGGGGACGAGGGACUCAGAUAGGAACUCAGAAAUCCUCAGGCCUCGAGAGCGUCAGCAUGACCUGGAGAACUAAUGAGAAUGCAGCAGACCAAGACUGCCACUGCUGGGAAGAUCGAGUCGUUUCCAGCCUUUAAGAACAACUAAAAACCUAGGACGCCACGUAUAACGCAAACAUAAGAGGACUCUGGAAAGCGGAGAGAAAGCCGACUGGCUGGGGACUUCGGGACCGGAAGAGCGACACGGUGGUAUUGUGAAUGACGCUGCUAUGAAUAUGAGUGUGCAAAUCUAUCUUCAAGACCCUGCUUUCAGUUCUCUGUGGUGUAUGCCCAGAAGUGGAAUUGCUGGAUCACAUGAAUUGUUUUGGUAUUCUAGUUCCCUGGCCCAGCCGCCUGCCUGUGGCCCUCAGGAACCCCCACCCUGCCUGCCCGCAGAAGACUCUGCUAUUGUUGCACCCCACCACCUGCCCUUGGGCAUGAACCCUCAGCUUCCAAGGGACAGCAAUUCAGGAGCGGCCAAGGUGGCCAUUCUGGCUCAGGGCCUCUUGCGAGGCUCCAGUCAAGACGUCAGAGGGACUCAGUCUUCCAAAGGCGCCACGAGGGCUGGAGGCGCCACGUCCACAAUGGUCCCUGUCCACUUCCAAGACGGC
Molecule: long non-coding RNA, 718 nt
Filed under: Equus caballus (horse)
Lineage: Eukaryota; Metazoa; Chordata; Mammalia; Perissodactyla; Equidae
Description: lncRNA (ENSECAG00000045948.1)
Source: RNAcentral